UACUCCAGUUAAAAUUUAGUCGUGUUCAGUGGUUAGUCCAGCUGUAGAAUCUUGUAACAUCUGUUUUGCUGGAGCUCAUCGUUACCAAGGGAAACCAGGCAUGACUGUCCAAGCAGCCUGACCUGUGUGUACAAUUAUACAGAUAAGCCUGUUGUCAUCUGCUGGUGAAUCCAACUGGUUUCCAAAACUGCACAUGAAUUUAGCCACAGGUGGACACCAUCUACAAGGAGCAAGGUAGAGUCUCAAUGUAUUUCUUCCACACUCUCUUUCCUUUUAAAAGAUAUGAUUGUAUUUUAGCAAAAGGUGGAAGGUCAUUCUUUAUAUCCAGGGAAUAUCAUCACAUCUGACAUUGUGUUUCUGAGGCAUGGGGAGUCACUGCCUGUCUAGUUCCCAUCUGCCUGUGUUUCUGUCUGCAGGUUUUCUUGGGGAAAUGGCCAUGGUCAGAAAAUAAGGGAGCAUAUGACUUUUUCUAAAGCAAAUUGAAUCCUUAGGAAUUGCAGUGGACUUUCACAGAGACUGAUAGAGGCCUAUUGAGAAACUCAGGAAGUAAUUUAUUUUAAAAAAAUUAUUAAUGAAAUGUGAAACAGGUGUGCAUCUAUGUGAAGCAGGAGUUAAAAUGCAGACUUUGGGAAUUUGCAUGUUAUUUAGAACAGUGUUGGAGAUGUUGUUUUUGUUUUUUCCUUUCUUUUUUUUUUACUUAAUAACUCAAUUUUUUUUUUCUUCCAUCAUCAUUGAUUAUUUAUAUUCAACUGGAAUAGACAGGUUUCAGCUGAAUGGGAGCAUUGCCAUGUGAUACUUACAUGAUAUGGUUACCUCAGUUCUAAGCAGGAGGGAAGGUGGAAAGGGUAAGAUAAAAGCGUCUCCUCUUCUUUUGAGGGUACCAUUAAACUCUGCAUGUUGGCUUUUUUAAUACAAAGAGAAUAACCUUUUGCCCAUCCAGUUUAUUUUGCUAAAUGCCCAAGUUAAGAUAAUUAAUCGGGAUUGCGAGUUUAGCCUGUCAGAAAGGAGCUUUUGAUUCCAACUCAUCUCUCCACAGAACUUUUCAUUGUAUCCCUUGCUUGAAGUUGGAUCUCACUACCUAGAUAUGGCAUAAGAAGAAAUUAGACUUUUUGGUUUUAUUUGUUCUAACUGGUAUAUUUUAUUUCAUUUCCAUGGUCAGAUAGAAAGUGUUCAAGCAAUGCCGUAUUUUACUGAUUGCUGUUUUCUUUAUGGAAGUAUCUUAAGAGUCUGCAGUCCAGGGGUCUGACAGCCUUAUUUUAUGGCUUAAUUGUUAGGACUAGGAAGAGACUUAGCUGAAAUACUCUUUGCUACUGUCAUUAAUAACUUACGAGGAGUGAAGCAGAGUCUGGUGAAAGGUUUAGGCAGGACAUGUUACUACAAUUAGUGGCAUACUAGAUUUUGAGCAAACAACAACAGGAGUGGGGCAGAAGGCAAAGCCAGCAUUGGAAACACUCUGGAGCAAUGAGAUACCAGCACAGAAUGAGUCUGCAGCUCCACAAGGGUCCAGUCUGCUCUCAUCAUUCCAGCCUCAGCACUGAGAUGAGGAUGGUGACAUCUUCCAGCUUUGCCUUAGUUGUUACCCGAUGGAUUCCAUCAUUGCUGCUUUACACUAAAUCCAUGGAAAUAGUUUGUACUGAGAUUUAAAAGUAAAAAUGAUAAAAGAAAUGAACUGAAGGCAGAAUCCACCCCUGCCACCAUUGUGUGUAGGUGAUAAAGGGCUACAUCUUUUGUCUUGCAUCUCACAUCUUUGGUGUGUGAAGGCAGGCUCAAGUGUUCUGUUGAGGUAUGUAUCUUUCUCUGCUAUGCUCAAGUUUGUGCAAAGGUAACAGGCAUGUCAGUGCUUUUCUCUUCUCAGGAGAUAGAUACACUACAAUAGAAGAGGAUAAACCUAUUCUCUUCUCCUAUUCAUGGAGAACAUUAAUGAAAGGAGAAAAAAAGUGUAUGCAAGCAGUUUUGUGACUUUCUAAUUUUUUCCUGCCCACUCACCUGCAAAUUACCCUGUUUUUCUCUCUUACCCAACGAAUUGCUGCUUCAUGAAUAGGCAUUUCAGAAGUUGCUGUCAUGAAGUCUGAGUCCUUUAUGUUUUAUUUUACCAUUUUAUCUGACACCUUGAUUUUACUCUUCCCUACUUUUAGAAAACAAGCAAGCUGAGAAAAAUCACAGUUUUCUGGCCCCGAAAGUCAGUUUAUAUGUUGUUUGGAUAAAGCAUGUUUGUUCUGUGAAGAAAAAAGGUGUUCUUUUUUGCUGCUCUUUCGUAGGGAAGUUGUUAGAGGCCACUGAGAAGCUCCGUGGUACCAAAAAAAAUUUGAUGUUAGUUUAUUGGUUUAAUAAGCACUAUUUAAGCACUGCUCAAGUGUAACAACUAUGGUUUUAUAGUCUGUUUUUUUCCAGACUUGAAUCUUCUGAUUUUGGGGGUUACCCAUAAAAAAUGGCUAAAUAGAUCAAUGUUUUUCAGAGCAUGUUUUUAUUGCCACUACAGCUGCAUGAAAAAAACUCAGUGUUGUGUUUGUCAGAAGAUAUGAAUUCUGUAGCAUUCUCUAACAGUCACAUUCAUCAAAAUCCUUUGUCUACAGUACCAUCAGUUCUGUGUCUAAUUCUUCCCAUUGGAAGUACAUUUAGUAGCAGGUUUUCAUGUUCACUUAAAGCUUUUGAAAGUGAAAUUCAUUUCCUGCAGGGCAUUCACAACAAUAAUGUAACUCCAGGUCAAUUAAAUGGAAGUUGAUGAUGCUACUCCAGAUUUACAUACCCAAAAUGGGGAAUACAAUCUGAUUCCAUAUAUGUAUGAAAUCCCAGCUAAUGUAAAACUGGCGUGGAAGAGAAUAAGUUUUGAUGUGACCUUUUAUAAAUUUUCUCAGAAGUUUUUUUUAAAAGGAGGAAGUGCACAUUGGUCAAGUAUCAGAAAGUGGUGCUCUUGAUUCCAGAUUGCAUGUGUGUUGCUCACAGAUCCAGCUGUCUAUCCUCAUUUACUUUUAUGUUUGGAGUCUUCGGUCACUCAUAUCGAAAAUGAAGCACUUGUACGUGAAGGAGAUGCAGGACUUUCUCCAACUUGAUUUUAGUGGCUGGACAUCUGUUCAGAAAGCUAUCAAGUGCCUCUGCAAUCAGUGAGAUGCUGAGGUUGAAAAGCUGAUCCUCAAAACUAAUCUGUGAUGAAUGGCUUCAUAAUUGGCUCCUUUCUACACAUUACACUCCUUCAAAACUAUAUUGUUAUUCAAGAAGUUGAUAAUCAUGAAUGUUACUCCUAAUUUUUUUCUUUCUGGUAUUGAAUUAUUUUCUAUAUGCCAAGACAAGUCCUGAGGAAAGAGAGAAAAGAAGUCAAAGGUUUUUCUUCUUUAAUGACAUUUAUAACAAUAUAUUGAUGAGAUUUUAAAAUAAAUACAUUUUUUAUUAGUUGUCUUACAGAUAUCUCAGUUUCUAAUCUUUUUUUUUUUUUUUGAAUGAAUGCCAGUAGUCAAAUGUCUUGCUGAAUAGUUGAUACACCUUCAAGCUGUGCUUUUGUGUGCUCUCCAUAGCAAUUGCUGGGAAUAAUUAAUUACAUUAGAACCCUGAAUGCUUUUUUUGGAUACUUACUUAUUCAUACAGCUGGAUUUGCUGGGUGAUGUGAGAAAAGUGAAUAGGUCAAUUUUUUAAUAGAGGAAAGAGGGGAAAGAGAAGUAGAAUUCAACUUUAAAACUAUUUAAUUAUUUUGUUCUCUUUCGUCUUUCCUUUUGUUGCUUGCCUUUUAACUUCCUUUUGCUGCUUCAGCUUUUUCUGGUAAUUUUCAUCUGUUCUCCUCCAUUUGCUUCCAAAGGCUCAUGGGAAGACCUUUCUUAAAUUUUGGUUUUUAGGAACAAAAGGAUAGAUACAGAUAACAGUAUUACUUACCAGAAAAAAGGACUGUGAGGAAUUAACUUUAAUUACUGAGUCUAGUCCUCUGUAAAGGGUAACCUAGAUAAUAGACUUUUACUCCAAGAGGACAUGCAAGAGUUCAAUUCACAAUGUCCACGAAGUUCUGAUUAAUAUCUUUCAGCCUUAUAGAAAACAACAGUGGUGCAGCUGUAAUAUGCCACAGAAAACAGUGAGGAACUGGAAUCAUGGUUGAUGUCCUAGAUCCCUACAACAACAAGGGAUUUGCUAGAUGGAUUUCCCAGAUGGUCUCUAGCAGUAUCUUAUUCCCUGCAGAAUGGGGAGUGAAAAAGAACAACUGCCAAUAAUCCCUAUCAGUCUGCUUGAGGUUUUGUCUGCCAUAUGUUUCAUCAAAACGUCCUGCUUUGUAUUUCAUCUCUAACAGUCACUGAUUUUGAAUACUU
Long non-coding RNA from Corvus hawaiiensis (hawaiian crow), 4286 nucleotides. RefSeq lists it as uncharacterized. The record is from RefSeq and is a predicted model, not a curated record. Lineage: Eukaryota; Metazoa; Chordata; Aves; Passeriformes; Corvidae. The transcript is spliced from 2 exons.